AUUGAACGCUGGCGGCAUGCCUUACACAUGCAAGUCGAACGGUAACGGGCCUUCUGGUGCCGGCGUGUGCGGCACGGGGGAGUAAUACACCUGGACGUGCCCGUGGGUGUGGGGGAAAGAGUCGGGAGCUUGGCUAAUAUCCCACACGAGCUCCGGGUGAGAGCAGGGGGGAUCAUGGCCCCUCACGCUCGCAGCUGACGAUGGGAGAUUAGGUAGUUGGUGGGAUAAAAACUUACCAAGACGACGAUCUGUAGCUGGUCUGAGAGGAUGAUCAGCCACACUGGAACUGAGACACGGCCCAGACUCCUACGGGAGGCAGCAGUGGGGAAUUUUGGACAAUGGGCGCAAGCCUGAUCCAGCCAUGCCGCGUGCAGGAUGAAGGCCUUCGGGUUGUAAACUGCUUUUGUACGGAACGAAAAGCCUUCUUUUAAUACAGGGGGGUCAUGACGGUACCGGAAGAAUAAGCACCGGCUAACUACGUG
RNAcentral lists this ribosomal RNA (482 nucleotides) under uncultured bacterium. RNAcentral's name for it is "partial 16S ribosomal RNA". It matches the Rfam family "Bacterial small subunit ribosomal RNA", at positions 30 to 507 of the family's 1533-position model. The record is from RNAcentral.